This 468-nucleotide long non-coding RNA is filed under the name Lathyrus oleraceus (garden pea). RNAcentral's name for it is "Pisum sativum (pea) long non-coding RNA (PSAT_LNC015969)". The record is from RNAcentral. Lineage: Eukaryota; Viridiplantae; Streptophyta; Magnoliopsida; Fabales; Fabaceae.
AAUGAACAUAUGAGUGUAAUAAAGGCAUAAACAUAAAAAGAAACUAAAAUGCUAAAAGAAAAAAGUAAUAUAGCUAAAAGAAAUAAAAUGCCAAAAAAGGUCACACAUGAGUAUUGAACCCACCCCACUCAAGAAUAUGAACACUGCCCUUCUCCAACAGGCCACUCAUCAUUAUCUGCUACUAAGAUACUACGUUAAAUAUAUGAACCGGGCUAAAAAAAUAAAAUAAAAAAGAUUUUAAAAAAAAUAAUAAAAAAAAUAAGAAAAACAAGAUAAAUAUUUUUAUGGUUUUUGUAUUAAAAACAAAAUAAAUUAGAUAAUAAAAGAAAAUUUAAAAAAAGAAAGAAAAAAAACGAAAUGGAGACAGGAACUCGUCUUCCUCUCUUCUCCCCCACCUCACGAGCUCAACCUUCCCCAACAAUGGCCUUCUACCUCAGCAUCUCUAAAUCGAGAUCUUUCUCUGCUCUC